This 423-nucleotide ribosomal RNA is filed under the name uncultured bacterium. RNAcentral describes it as "bacterial SSU rRNA". It matches the Rfam family "Bacterial small subunit ribosomal RNA", at positions 9 to 429 of the family's 1533-position model. The record is from RNAcentral.
GAGUUUGAUCAUGGCUCAGAUUGAACGCUGGCGGCAUGCCUAACACAUGCAAGUCGAACGGCAGCACAGUCGUAGCAAUACGAUGGGUGGCGAGUGGCGGACGGGUGAGUAAUGCAUCGGGACCUACCUGAACGUGGGGGAUAACGUAGGGAAACUUACGCUAAUACCGCAUACGUCCUACGGGAGAAAGCGGGGGACCUUCGGGCCUCGCGCGGUCAGACGGACCGAUGUUCGAUUAGCUAGUUGGUAAGGUAAUGGCUUACCAAGGCGACGAUCGAUAGCUGGUCUGAGAGGAUGAUCAGCCACACUGGAACUGAGACACGGUCCAGACUCCUACGGGAGGCAGCAGUGGGGAAUAUUGGACAAUGGGCGCAAGCCUGAUCCAGCAAUGCCGCGUGUGUGAAGAAGGCCUUCGGUUGUAAG